This 253-nucleotide ribosomal RNA is filed under the name uncultured bacterium. Its description in RNAcentral is "partial 16S ribosomal RNA". It matches the Rfam family "Bacterial small subunit ribosomal RNA", at positions 524 to 776 of the family's 1533-position model. The record is from RNAcentral.
UACGUAGGGUGCGAGCGUUGUCCGGAAUUACUGGGCGUAAGGAGCUCGUAGGCGGCUUGUCGCGUUGUUCGUGAAAAUUUACCGCUCAACGGUGAACUUGCGGGCGAUACGGGCAGGCUAGAGUACUGCAGGGGAGACUGGAAUUCCUGGUGUAGCGGUGAAAUGCGCAGAUAUCAGGAGGAACACCGGUGGCGAAGGCGGGUCUCUGGGCAGUAACUGACGCUGAGGAGCGAAAGCGUGGGGAGCGAACAGG